GACGAACGCUGGCGGCACGCCUAACACAUGCAAGUCGAACGGACUUAAACGGAGCUUGCUCUUUUUAAGUUAGUGGCGGACGGGUGAGUAACACGUGAGCAACCUGCCUUUCUGAGGGGGAUAACGUUUGGAAACGAACGCUAAUACCGCAUAACAUAUAUUUAUCGCAUGAUAGAUAUAUCAAAGGAGCAAUCCGCAGAAAGAUGGGCUCGCGUCUGAUUAGCUAGUUGGUGAGGUAAGGGCUCACCAAGGCGAAGAUGGUUAGGGGUUUUGAGAGAGAGACCCCCCACAUUGGAACUGAGAGACGGUCCAGACUCCUACGGGAGGCAGCAGUAGGGAAUAUUGGGCAAUGGGCGAAAGCCUGACCCAGCCAUGCCGCGUGAAGGAAGACGGCCUUAUGGGUUGUAAACUUCUUUACUACGCGAAUAGAGGUUAGUACGAGAUACUAAUAGGAAGGUAGUGUAGUAAAAAGCACCGGCUAACUCCGUG
Molecule: ribosomal RNA, 489 nt
Filed under: uncultured bacterium
Lineage: Bacteria
Description: bacterial SSU rRNA
Rfam family: Bacterial small subunit ribosomal RNA
Source: RNAcentral